This is a long non-coding RNA of Canis lupus familiaris (dog), 3591 nucleotides long. RefSeq lists it as uncharacterized. The transcript has 5 exons. Lineage: Eukaryota; Metazoa; Chordata; Mammalia; Carnivora; Canidae. The record is from RefSeq and is a predicted model, not a curated record.
AGACCCACUCAGGCAAGACUUCCUGGAAGAAGUGCCAGUUGAGCUGGCAUCUUUCUUCUUUUAUUUCUCCUUCAGUUUCUUUCCCACCUAAGUGGGGCUUCCAGCUGUAAGGAUGGACAGGAGAAAUUUUAUCUUGGAAGGGGUAUUGUAGGGCUGUAAAGUGAUGGCACUGUGAAAUCACAGAGCAGCAUUCUUUCCUCUGGGCAGACCUAGCCAAUACCUGGGUACCAAGCUCCUCUGGUAGAGAGUGGACUGCUAACCCAUCCACUCAUUGCCUUUGUGCAGUGCCCAGCCUGUGCAUCUGUUCAAGGCAGCCCAGGGCAUUCAGCUUCCGAACCCAGCUUGGGGAAGCCAAGGGCAGAAGAGAAGGAAAGCCCCAUUGGGAGGCUUCUGGGAACUGGAAAAGUGCAUUUCCCUGCUUCCAAAGGCCUCUCUGCCUGCUUUCAAUACCCCUUUCAGUUGCUGCCAGUACAUAGCCCUACAGCUCCCAGUCCUCACCCUCUGUCCCUGGGCUUUCCCAGGGAAGAAAUUUCAGCUCCAACUUUUUCAAGGGUUGCAAGCCAGGCUAUUCUGAGGGUGGUAAAGCAGGUGGAGAGGGAGCUCACAGUGAAGGGGAGAACAGCAUGUUUAUCAGUUUGCUCAGGCCGGGGAGGAAAAUAUUCAGGGGCUUUCAGAUCCAUGGCGUGAACAGAUGGAAUUAAAAGGAGAGUCUGGACCUGAAUGACAAAGUCCAGGGUUUGGCAAGCUGUGCUCACAAUCGUAGCAUGUGUGCUCAUGCCUCAUCCCAGAGCCCCCAGGAGCAUGCCCUGCGUGCACAGAUGAGGGAGACUUUCUUCUAAUGAAGACGAAUGCAGAGCGAUGAGUGACUUGGCAAAAGCCAACGCAGUCAGAAUACAGGCUUCAUUCAGGGAAGUGAAAAACCCAGGUGGUGCUGAGUUUGGAGAAAUGUCUGAGAGCAUGCUGAGUGCCCAAGCCUUGAAGGGGUUCUACUGUGGAUCUGGGGGUACAGCCGGCCCCUCUCUGAUGAAGCUCCACCUUCAGCUUCCAGAGCAGAGGCUCAAGGAUCACCUCCUCAAAGAAGCCUGCCCUGACCCUCUAUGCAAAGUAGCCUCCGAGGCUCUCUGUUCAUUUUUUUCUUCAUAACAUUUAUCAGCAACUGGAAUGAUUUUAUUUCUGCGUUUAUGGUUCAGCUCCUGCACCUGAAUGGCAGCUCCACAAGGGCUGGGACCCAGUCUGUCUCAUUCAUCAGUUUACCCUCUGGUUCUAAAAUAGAGCUUGGCACACUGCAGUCACUCAACAAAUAUUGGUGGAGUGGAGAUUGAGAGAGAGAGAGGCAGAGACACAGGCAGAGGGAGAAGCAGACUCCAUGCACCGGGAGCCCGACGUGGGAUUCGAUCCCGGGUCUCCAGGAUCGCGCCCUGGGCCAAAGGCAGGCGCCAAACCGCUGCGCCACCCAGGGAUCCCUACGAUGCUCUUAAUAACGUGAUAGUAAACCCACUGCCCAUUGGAACUAUGGCUCAGUGAGGUGACAUCUGCUCACCCAGCGAGCAAGUGGAGAACCAGUGCUCAGACCCAGGCCGGGCUUUGCAUCUGGCCACACUGCCUGUAGUAGGUUAGGACGGGAGGGGAGUCAGCUAAGAGAAAGGAGUGGCACCCCCAGGCUCUCCGGCCUGCAGAAACCCUCCAUUCACUCCAGGCUCGUGGGAAGGAAGGGUGACCGGGUUCAGUGGCAGCCCUUUCUAGCACUGAGUGUCAGAUGUGAACAGGAGACCCUGCCGCUUGGAACAAAAUGGCAGGAAUGGAACAAAUUCGUUUGCUUACGUAGCUCCAGGCAUUCUACACACACACACACACACACACACACACACACACACACACACACCUGAGCGUCUGUAUAAGAGUUAGUGGGGGCUGCCAGCAAACUCCCUCUUUAGUCCUUGAUCGUGAUCUGCACUGGGAAAAUGGGGUAAUGGAGUUGGGGGUGCAGUGGCUGGCUGGGUGCCCUCCCUCUGCCCAACCUGCUCAAAGUUGUCCCAUCAGGCUUUGAACACUGAUCUCAACCCCACAGCAACCGUAGCCCGAGUCCCAGCCCACACGGCCCCUGGCCGAAGGGUCCCACACGCUUGUCCUCCUCUGUACCCCAGGCCCGCUUGGCACAUUCGAAGCCCUGCCUGGCCCCAGCGCCCCACACCGCUGGUGUGCCCGGGACUUGGGCGUCUGCCCAUCCACUGCUCAGGACGUGAGUUCUGCAGUCGCCCUGGUCCACACUCUGGGAGCCCGGGUACCGGUACUUUUGGCUCCCAUGUCCCCCUCCCAGGACUUGGUCUAGGCACCCCACCCUUGGCCCUUCUCAGAGACCUCCGGCAGGGUGUUUGUACCGUAUCCCUCGGGCCUUACCACCUCCGUGGGCCAAGGACUCACCGUGAAGCCAUGGGGCGGGGGGGCACCCUUUCCUCUGUGGGGCAGACCAGAGUGCUCAGGAGUUCACGUCAGGCCCCCGCUAGCGGCCCCCCGCCCCGAGCCAUGGCCCUGGCUGAGAGCCCUUCUGCUCUGAGUCCCGGGGCUCCUCGAACGAAGCUCCACUCCCCAGGGCCCCAGGCGAGCCGACGACACUCCCCUACUGCCUGCCUUCCCACUCCCACUGGCGUUUGCCAGCAUCGCUUCCUGAUUAAAUCUCAGGGGCCGCUCCUGGGGUCCUCCCUGAAGCCGGCCUGUUCCUCCCAGCCUGCCUCGGCCGGGCCCCCACUCUGGAAUCCUCCAGCGCUCCCCGCCACCGCUCCUGGCCCCUGGCUUUCUCUGCUCCCCGGGGUCUCGCACCUUCGGCCCGGAGCAAAGGGUUCCCUCGCCCUCCAGCACAAUCCCUGUGAGUUCAGCCUCUCCCCCAGCCUCUGACCUGGUGCCCAGAGCUGUCACCGACCCGCCCACCUUGCAGGCCGGAGGCAAACCCGGCCCGGGCCAGUUCGAUCCCAGGGAGAAACGCUGCAGGUCAGAAAGUUCCUUCAAAAUCAGCAAAAAUAAAAUUUAAUUGUGCGCCGCAGGUGUGGGCAGUCCGUCCUUCCUUGGGAAGGGCCGCCAGCCGUCUUGAGGGAGAGCACCCCUGUUCUUCCUGCAGACGGGCGCCUCCAGGACCCGGAUGGCUGGCCCUGGGGUGGGCCGCCUCAGCCCCCGGGAGGGGGUGCAUUCGAAGAUGCGCAGUGGGGGCCCCGGCACUUUCCGUAGGCCCUUGGCUCCCUCCUCGCCGCGGCGGGCUCCAACCCUAGGCCAGCCAGGAGCUUCUUGGGUCCCGGCCCAGAAGAGCCACGGCGCCCUAAAAGACCUUCCGGGGAACACAGCCCUCCAGCUCCAGCAGCUCCGGCCAGCCGUCGUAUUUGUUGGUGCCUGGGUUGUUCUUUAAGAACUAGAGAGAGAGGAGACAGAGAAUGACGCAGACCAUGGGGGAGGCUGUUCAGGAUUCACACCUGAGUUUUCACUGUGCUUUUAAAACCUCACGCUUUGGGGAUCCCUGGGUGGCUCAGUGGUUUACAGCCUGCCUUUGGCCCAGGGCGCGAUCCUGGAGUCCCGGGAUCGAGUCCCACAUUGGGCUCCCGGCAU